Molecule: transfer RNA, 85 nt
Filed under: Sulfurisoma sp.
Lineage: Bacteria; Pseudomonadati; Pseudomonadota; Betaproteobacteria; Nitrosomonadales; Sterolibacteriaceae
Description: tRNA-Leu
Rfam family: tRNA
About the family: Transfer RNA (tRNA) molecules are approximately 80 nucleotides in length.
Source: RNAcentral
GCCCGGAUGGUGAAAUUGGUAGACACAAGGGACUUAAAAUCCCUCGGCGCAAGCCGUGCCGGUUCGAUUCCGGCUCCGGGCACCA